RNAcentral lists this ribosomal RNA (254 nucleotides) under uncultured bacterium. RNAcentral's name for it is "partial 16S ribosomal RNA". It matches the Rfam family "Bacterial small subunit ribosomal RNA", at positions 524 to 776 of the family's 1533-position model. The record is from RNAcentral.
UACGUAGGGGGCUAGCGUUGUCCGGAUUUAUUGGGCGUAAAGGGCGCGUAGGCGGCCAGCGCAAGUCAGUUGUGAAAUCUCCGGGCUUAACUCGGAACGGUCAACUGAUACUGCGCGGCUAGAGUGCGGAAGGGGCAACUGGAAUUCUCGGUGUAGCGGUGAAAUGCGUAGAUAUCGAGAGGAACACCUGCGGCGAAGGCGGGUUGCUGGGCCGACACUGACGCUGAUGCGCGAAAGCCAGGGGAGCGAACGGG